CCUANGGGAGGCAGCAGUGAGGAAUAUUGGUCAAUGGGCGACAGCCUGAACCAGCCAUCCCGCGUGAAGGAAGAAGGCGCUAUGCGUUGUAAACUUCUUUUCCAGAGGAAUAAAAUUUUGUACGAGUACGAAACUGAAGGUACUCUGGGAAUAAGCAUCGGCUAACUCCGUGCCAGCAGCCGCGGUAAUACGGAGGAUGCGAGCGUUAUCCGGAUUCAUUGGGUUUAAAGGGUGCGUAGGCGGACUAAUAAGUCAGUGGUGAAAACCUGCAGCUUAACUGUAGACGUGCCAUUGAUACUGUUAGUCUUGAGUAUGGUCAAGGUAGGCGGAAUGUGUAAUGUAGCGGUGAAAUGCUUAGAUAUUACACAGAACACCGAUUGCGAAGGCAGCUUACUGGGCCAUUACUGACGCUGAUGCACGAAAGCGUGGGGAGCGAACAGGAUUAGAUACCCCUNUANUC
Molecule: ribosomal RNA, 460 nt
Filed under: uncultured bacterium
Lineage: Bacteria
Description: bacterial SSU rRNA
Rfam family: Bacterial small subunit ribosomal RNA
Source: RNAcentral